CACGUAGGGCGCAAGCGUUGUCCGGAAUUAUUGGGCGUAAAGAGCUCGUAGGUGGUUCGCCACGUCUGUUGUGAAAAUCCAGGGCUCAACCCUGGACUUGCUGCGGAUACGGGUGAACUAGAGGUAGGUAGGGGAGAAUGGAAUUCCCGGUGUAGCGGUGAAAUGCGCAGAUAUCGGGAGGAACACCGGUGGCGAAGGCGGUUCUCUGGGCCUUACCUGACACUGAGGAGCGAAAGCGUGGGGAGCGAACAGG
Molecule: ribosomal RNA, 253 nt
Filed under: uncultured Actinoallomurus sp.
Lineage: Bacteria; Bacillati; Actinomycetota; Actinomycetes; Streptosporangiales; Thermomonosporaceae
Description: partial 16S ribosomal RNA
Rfam family: Bacterial small subunit ribosomal RNA
Source: RNAcentral